Molecule: ribosomal RNA, 386 nt
Filed under: uncultured prokaryote
Description: bacterial SSU rRNA
Rfam family: Archaeal small subunit ribosomal RNA
Source: RNAcentral
GCGCGAAAACUUUACAAUGCUGGCAACAGCGAUAAGGGAACCUCGAGUGCCAGGUUACAAAUCUGGCUGUCGAGAUGCCUAAAAAGCAUUUCAUAGCAAGGGCCGGGCAAGACCGGUGCCAGCCGCCGCGGUAACACCGGCGGCCCGAGUGGUAACCGUUAUUAUUGGGUCUAAAGGGUCUGUAGCCGGCCGGAUAAGUCUCUUGAGAAAUCUGGCAGCUUAACUGUCAGGCUUUCAGGAGAUACUGUCUGGCUCGAGGCCGGGAGAGGGGAGAGGUACUUCAGGGGUAGGGGUGAAAUCUUGUAAUCCUUGAAGGACCACCAGUGGCGAAGGCGUCUCACCAGAACGGACCUGACGGCAAGGGACGAAAGCUAGGGGCACGAACC